CACGGCGCACGGGUGCGUAACACGUGGGUAAUCUGCCCUUCGAUGGGGAAUAACUCCGGGAAACCGAAGCUAAUUCCGCAUAACAUUCCUCGAACUUCGGUUUGGGGACUCAAAGCCGUAAGGCGUCGGAGGAGGAACCCGCGCACGAUUAGCUAGUUGGUAGGGUAACGGCCUACCAAGGCUUUGAUCGUUAGCUGGUCUGAGAGGAUGGCCAGCCACACUGGAACUGAGACACGGUCCAGACUCCUACGGGAGGCAGCAGUGGGGAAUCUUGCACAAUGGGCGAAAGCCUGAUGCAGCGACGCCGCGUGGGGGAUGAAGCUUUUCGGAGUGUAAACCCCUUUCGACCCGGACGAAUGCCCCGCAAGGGGACUGACGGUACGGGUAUAAGAAGCCCCGGCUAAUUACGUGCCAGCAGCCGCGGUAAGACGUGGGGGGCCAGCGUUGCUCGGAAUUACUGGGUGUAAAGGGUUCGUAGGCGGUGUAGCAAGUCGGGAGUGAAAUCUCUGGGCUCAACCCAGAGACUGCUUCCGA
Molecule: ribosomal RNA, 534 nt
Filed under: uncultured bacterium
Lineage: Bacteria
Description: bacterial SSU rRNA
Rfam family: Bacterial small subunit ribosomal RNA
Source: RNAcentral